GUGAACUUAGGGCCCGCGGCGGCGUGAUGGCGAAGGGGGGUUGGGUUGCUCGGAAUCACUGGGCGUAAAGCGGACGUAGGCGGCGUUCUAAGGCAGGGGUGAAAUCCUGGAGCGCAACGCCAGAACUGCCUUUGAUACUGGAGGGCUCGAGUCCGGAAGAGGUGAGUGGAACUGCGAGUGUAGAGGUGAAAUUCGUAGAUAUUCGCAAGAACACCAGUGGCGAAGGCGGCUCAUUGGUCCGGUACUGACGCUGAGGUGCGAAAGCGUGGGGAGCAAACAGGAUUAGAUACCCGUGUAGUC
RNAcentral lists this ribosomal RNA (300 nucleotides) under uncultured Bacillus sp. Its description in RNAcentral is "bacterial SSU rRNA". It matches the Rfam family "Bacterial small subunit ribosomal RNA", at positions 496 to 795 of the family's 1533-position model. Lineage: Bacteria; Bacillati; Bacillota; Bacilli; Caryophanales; Bacillaceae. The record is from RNAcentral.